This 568-nucleotide long non-coding RNA is filed under the name Lathyrus oleraceus (garden pea). Its description in RNAcentral is "Pisum sativum (pea) long non-coding RNA (PSAT_LNC020002)". Lineage: Eukaryota; Viridiplantae; Streptophyta; Magnoliopsida; Fabales; Fabaceae. The record is from RNAcentral.
AGAGGAAAAGGAGUUUGGUUGGCUUUCAUGUAUUAAGAGAAUUAGUUUUGAUGAGUUUCUGGAUAAGGGUGGAUGGAUUUUGCAGAUUUGGGUGGUUAAGGAGAUGAAGAGAAUAUGGAGGUAUGAACAAGUAAUGGAUUUUCUGGGAAAUUUGUUGUUGAUGAAGGAGGUAAUUGAAAAAUGGGAUCAUUUAAGUGUUGUUUGAACAAUGGAUAGAAAGAUUGUUGAUGAAUAUCAGGGCUAUGUUUUUUUUAGGGAUGAAGGUGCGACGAAGGUUUAACCAAAUAUGGGAGUUGGAGGAAUUCUUGGAGAGUUAUUGGUUAUAUAUUUGGAGUAAUGAAGGUGAUAUGAAAGUUGAAUGGAAUCUCGUUUUUGGAUUAAUUUUUAAGAGUGUUCUUGAUUUUUUUUUUAAAUGUUUGAAGUUUUUGGUAUUUUGCUUUGGUAUGUGUGCUUGAUUAUGGGUUUGGGCGAUGAAGGUGGGAUGAAUUUCUUGAUGUUCUAGGUAAAGGGUGGAGGGGUUUUGGUUUAGAAAAACAUGAAGAGAAGAAAUUUGAGUGAGGAAAUGAGG